CCUUAGUUUAAUUCUGGCUAGAGGAGAGGGGAUAAAUGCGGUACCACAUAAAAAUUUUAUUUUUCUUUUGUCUUAAAUAUUAUGACGCUGUUUAGUGGUUGGUUCUCGGUUUACAAUAAUGUUGGAACGGGGCAUUUGUUAUUGUGAAGUGGAUAAGACACAGUGCCAGCAUCCGCGGUUAUUCUGUUUGCUUGUCUCUCUUAUUAGGAGAAAAUAUUUAUCAAUUAUAUUUCUUAAUUUACAGUAAUAAGUUAUCUAGGUUUAAAAUGUGAAUUGAUCAGUUGUGAUUUACUAUUAAGGAUGGGGAUUAGAGACCCCCUUACUGGUAGAGUGAAGUUUGUUCCUUGGUUUAAACUAAAAGGAUUUGGCAGCCGGUGAGAUUCGUUCGGGGGAGUGUGUUUUUUAAAAAGAUAGUCCGCUUAUGAUUUUACUAUAGCUAGCUUAGUUAGUGUACGUCCGAUUUAAUAUUUGUGAUUAAUGUCUGAAUGAGUGAAAUGAUUAAUUUAAGUCAGGUCUAUGUGCUACUAAUGUUAUAUGGUAAUUAUGCACUACAUUAUUUAAAGUUUAAUGUUGAGAGAGUGUUUUUAAAUUUAGGACUCGAUAGUAGGGGGAUGUAAAGUUUGGUCUUUCGAAGUUGAUUUAGCUGGGGUACACAUCGCCCGUCAAUUCCAGCAUUAGUUGGGGUAAGUCGUAACAUGGUAGUGAUUGGGGAACCAGUCGCUAGUUGACU
This 730-nucleotide ribosomal RNA is filed under the name Holostephanus sp. FJ-2023. RNAcentral's name for it is "small subunit ribosomal RNA". Lineage: Eukaryota; Metazoa; Platyhelminthes; Trematoda; Diplostomida; Cyathocotylidae. The record is from RNAcentral.